This 73-nucleotide transfer RNA is filed under the name Candidatus Symbiothrix sp. Its description in RNAcentral is "tRNA-Met". It matches the Rfam family "tRNA". Rfam says of the family: Transfer RNA (tRNA) molecules are approximately 80 nucleotides in length. Their secondary structure includes four short double-helical elements and three loops (D, anti-codon, and T loops). The record is from RNAcentral. Lineage: Bacteria; Pseudomonadati; Bacteroidota; Bacteroidia; Bacteroidales.
CGCGGGGUGGAGCAGUUGGUAGCUCGCCAGGCUCAUAACCUGGAGGUCGUCGGUUCGAGUCCGGCCCCCGCAA